Long non-coding RNA from Amphimedon queenslandica, 237 nucleotides. RefSeq lists it as uncharacterized. The transcript has 3 exons. Lineage: Eukaryota; Metazoa; Porifera; Demospongiae; Haplosclerida; Niphatidae. The record is from RefSeq and is a predicted model, not a curated record.
ACACAACUUCUUGGCUAUUUUUGUCGUUGCAACUUCAUGCCAUCAAUUUGCAGAUUAAAAAAUAUUUGCUGUAUCAUGUCAUUCUAAGAAAGAUAUAGGAAGAUGCUUCAAACUUAUUCGUCAAUAAGCAGCAAACUCAGAAAUGAAUACUGUAUCAACUACUAAAGCAUGAUUAGUGAGUAUAUUGAGGAAGUAUAGGUUUGAAAGAUCACCUGAUACUCAGAUACCAUUAAAGAA